UUGAAAGGGAAACGAUUGAAGUCAGUCGUGCUGGCGCGAAAUCAACCUUCUCGUCUUGAGACCACAUGGCGUGGCGAGCCUCAAAACCGUCACGAAGCGUGAACUCCUGGUGAAAUGGAGCACUUUCGUGUCCGCUGGUUAACAUCAAUUUCGAACGUCAUAAAAAGGCUGGAGGGAUGUGGCUCCUUCGGGAGUGUUAUAACCUUUAGCGGAAUGUGGUGUUCGGGAUUGAGGAUUGCAACGAAUACCUUUAGGGCUGUUCCACCUGGCUUCUCUUUGGUAUCCUGGUGACGACAGCUUGCUGACGCCGUUAGGAUCCGCCUUUGAACAGGCUAGAGUGUGAGCAAAUUCGUUAAGGAUGUUGACGUA
RNAcentral lists this ribosomal RNA (369 nucleotides) under uncultured Glomeromycotina. RNAcentral's name for it is "LSU rRNA". The record is from RNAcentral. Lineage: Eukaryota; Fungi; Glomeromycota.